AUCCACAGAUCUGACUGCACUUGGCAAUGCCAGCCUGCUCCCAGCCUUCCCUGGCGGGUGGAAACCUGGCUUCAGCUACUGCUGACAAUUUAUAGGAACAUAACCACCUGGAAGAGAUGCUCAUUGUUCUAUAAUAACUCCUAGGGAGGUAAAUCCAUCCAUCUCCCCAUAACUGGCAAAAGGAAAUGAGAAAGGGGCUGGGUAAUGGGAGCCUUUGGGAGCCUAAAUCCAGGAGCUGCCCCAGGCUGAGACAGAGCUGGCUGGCAGUGGCACAGGAAAGGGUGACAAGGCGCAGGAUGAGAUGGGUCAGAUCCGUUUGCUCCACAGGGCACGUCUCUAACAAACUAAAAAGUGCUAUGUGCUGGUGACAUUCAGCAGUCUGCCAAAGAAAGCCAGGCUUCAGGCUCAGUUGAAGGCACCCCUCUGUUCUCAGGGUCUCAGCAGGCACCCUCACUUUUCCUGUUCUCUUGGUUCUCUGGUCCUCCUGUUCUCCCAGUCAGAAAUCUGUGUUGGCUUUUUCUGGAGUCUGACCUGCUCAGCACCCUGCUUUAGGUCCUGUCCAUGUGAAGAUGGAUGGCUCGUCUACUAAAGUGCUCUACUUUAAAGCUAGCACACCCCAGGUGUCAUUUCCUAGCAAUAGUCUGCGUCUCAUCAAGGAUCUGAGACAUUCUGUCCACCCAUCUGUGGGGCCACGAAGGGCAGACAGGGUUUCUUAUUAGCCUGUGGCCCCAGGAAUCUGCCUAUCUUAGCCUUAUCAGCAAUGGAAUUAAAAGCAUUUUCCGUCUGUGGUUGUUUGAAUCCACAGUUGCUGAGUCCACACAGAAGAAAUGCCAACUACAUUAAAAAAAAAUUGUAUGCACUGGCUUUGAAAAAACCCAACAUCACCUCUAUAAUGGUUAAUCUUAAUUGUCAACUUGACUGGAUCCAUAAUCAGCUAAGAAUGACUUCUAAGCAAACCCACUAAGGGAUUUCUUAAUUGGACUAACUGAUGUGGGAAGACACAUCCUAAGAGGGAGGCAAUGACUUUGGGAGAUGACCCAGAAAUAGAGAAGUCUAAAGGGAGAAAGCUUCUGGCUUUUUGCCUGUUCAUCUUCUGGUCUCAUUGGAGAUUUCAUCUACUCUGCUACUGCCACCCACCAUGGCCUCCGCCGCUGUCUUCCACUAACAUCAGAACCAAGUUCUUCAGCUUGCCACACAGACAUGACCGGAAGCUCUCCAGGAGUACUCCAGGUACGUAGUACCAGAUUGUGACACCUGAGACCUCCAACUCAUGGGCUGAGCAGCUACAGGGUUCUCGGUCUCUUCAGUGGGAGACAGCCAUUGUUGGUCAAUCCUGACAGAAUUCUGUAGCCAAUCUAGCAACUUCUCCUUUGACGCAUGUUCAUUCUCUCAGGCCUGUUCAAGAGGAGAACUCUGACUAAUGCAAUGCGGUUGAUCCAUUCGGCCAUUUUUUCCUAUGCUACUUUUUCUUCUUUUUAAUUUAAAGGUAAAAUAUAAGAUGCUGUAGACAGUAGCUAUAAUCCAAGCAGAACAUGAUGCUGUCUACACAGGGAUGACACGGAACAUGAUGCUGUCUACACAGGCAUGACACGGAACAUGAUGCUGUCUACACAGGCAUGACAGGUCCCCACACUGACUUACCUUUACUCUUGCUGCCUUUGUCGAGACAAACAAGCCUGUCCCUCAUUUAUCUAAACCAUAUUCAAAUGACCUGGCAAAGAAGUUUUAAAACUGCUGGUCUGUAAUCUAAACUACAAAUACACUUCACUGUACCAUUUAUUACUUAUGACAAAUGUCACUGUGGACAGAUAUAAAAAAAUGUAAUCACUGAGUAUAAUACUUAAAGAGCUACUUUUUAAAAUCAUGAAUGCAUUUUAAGCAUAUACUGACAAUAUACAAAAGCAUGGUUAUUAAUAUCUUUUAAAUGUGAAAGCACAAUGCUUCCACACAGCAACUAAGAUCUAAUUAUAUUUAGAGCUAGCUGAAAUUUAGUGAUUACAGUGGCAAUACCAUAUUUUCAUAUUUUUAGUCCUGCUUAUGUGUCAGACUGUAGUCUCAGAGGAUCUAAAUUGGCAUCUUCAAGUUUAUUUCCAAGUAAUCAUUUUUCAUCUCCUCUUCUAAUUUUAGUCAGCGCAGUUUUUCCUGCUGCACUCAGGUCUCUGACAGGUGUAGACUGGGAUCAGACCGGCAGUGUGAUCAGGCUUCAGGGAUGCUAUAGUGCCGACUAGACUUACAGGGAGCCUGCGCAUUGCGGUUCCAGCCACAGCAGACAUGACUGCCCUCCCAACUCCCGAUCAGUGUAAUGCUGUUGAUCAAUUUGGCCAUUUUUUCUCUAUGACACCUGUUUUGUUUUGAAUUUUGGGGUAAAAGGUAAUGCUGUAGACAGCAGCCACGCCCAAACAUGCAGAGCCUCCCUCCUGUAUCAGUACUUCUCAGCUGCAGCUCUCCUGACAGAGGCAGGACACUUUGCUUUCAGAGGGGCUUUUUAGCCUACGUGCAAGCAUCCCUCUUGGUGCUUCAUCAAUUGCAUGCCAAUAGCAACUCUACGAGGCUGUGAUGAUGGAACCUGUCUCUAGACUCGAGCUGUGUGUGCCUUCAGUUGGAGGCAGGCAGAGGGAGGGCUAAGUGGGCUCCUAGUUCAUGAAGUUUGUUCUUUCAGAAUCAUAUUUAUGAUCUGUUCCUGCUUCUCCAAACCUGUGAACUGCUAGGAAGGCAGGUUCCACUCUAGCCAAACAGGAUGACUUUUGACUGGUCCAGAUGCGGGAGGUGAUUCCCUCUUCCUCCCAUUUUGCUUCUGCUCAUGAACAUGUGAUACAGUUUCAGUCAAGGAGACACAAGUGGAAGUCCUUGACCUGGUCAGCAUUCGGGCAUGGAGGUGAAAAGGUUAGUUUGGGCUCUGUGUUGGAGGUUGCAAACCAGAAUCAGGUAGAUGCUGGUGGACAUGGUGGAUGGCCAGAACACCAUGGCAGAGCAAGCCACUGACCAUUAGCCCAGAAACAACAGAAAAAUGAAGACAGAGGCUCGCAGACCCUACUGUGCUCCCCCCAAGGAGCACAGUAGGGUCUCCCUGGAAAUGCUUUCUGAACCUUGGGGGACUAGUCCUCACAUAACUGUAGGAGGCUUCACUGAAGAAAGCCUUGCUCUUGAGAAUGGACUAAGCCAAACAGAGGAGUGAAACGAAGAGUACAUACUAAUCAAUAAGACUUCCUUAACAAAGUACCACAGACUGAGUCAACCUAAACAGCAGAACUCCAUCUAACCUGUAAAUACAAGAUCAAGGAAAGGUGUCAGCCAGGAGGUUUCACCUGAGGCCUGUCUCCUUGGCAUAGUGACAGCCAUCUCCUCCUGUCUUCACGUGGUCAUCCCUCUGGGAGUGUGCACCCAAAUGUCCCCUUCUUCAAAGGAUGCCAGUGAUACUGGAUUGGGACCAAUCCUAACAAGUGUGUUUUCACUGAAGUACCUCCAUAAGGCUUUCUUCUCAGACACAGGCCCAUUCUGAAGGUCAGUAAGUCAGGAAUGAAGUGGGUGAGUUGGGGGCAGAGUGCAGUGCGCACCAGGAAGAAGCAAAGGAGACAUCAAGACAGAGGAGAGGACUAUGGGAUGCAUUCAUUGAGAAUGAAUCUUUCUCUGUGAGAUGGGACUAAAUGGGUGCAGACAGCGAAGCUGUUCUAGCGUUAUCAUGGCCUGACCAUGACCUGCUAACGUAGGUGGAGUUGACCAAGAAUGCCAUCAAAAGCCAGGCGUUGUCCUAUGUUGCCCCUUUCAGAGUUUUCCUCCUCAUACUGGUUGCCUCAUGAUCACAGGAAGGCCUCUGAGCCCCAAGGCAGGAGGUAUGGGGAGGAUCUCCCUCAUAUAGAAGCAUCACUUUUUCCUAAAGGCCUCAACAUACUUAUAUCUCAGUGAGCUCAGGGAUGUGGGGCCAGCCCUGGAGGAGAUCAGGAAAUCUGGCAAUGCAAACAGGUGAGUUUUCUAGGACCUCUGCUAAUGGGCAUCAAGCAGAAAGGGGAGAGAGAGGGUGUAACAUGAUGGAUUAGACAAAUGACUAUGUUAGCUAAGAUAGAGAAAAACAAACAAAGGACAAUAUUAGGCGGGGUUAUAGAGAAGUUAAGAAUAUACAGGGGAAAUCAUCUCCAUUUAUAAAUAAAUGGUAUAUAUAAAAUAGUUUUCAUACCUAGCUUUCCCAGCAUGUUCUCACAUCCAACUGCUUGCUCCAUAUUAAGAUAAUUGCUUAUCUUUUGUCAUAAACAUGCAAUUUGUACUUAGCAGCUGCCUGCAGAUUAGGAGCUGUGUGUGUGCCCUGAGCAGAACAUGGGACAUACAGCACAGUAUCUGGCCUAGCACAAAUAAUUAUUAAAUUUUGCUUCAAUAAAUGAGUCAACUUAAUCCAGAUAAUUAUAGAAGAUGACAUAAUAUUUAUUUGAUAAGAAAAAAGUCACUCAGAUUUCUUUCUAUGCCAUCCAAGACCACCUACCUAUGGGUGACACCCCCCCCCCCUUGGUCUGGGCCCUCCCACGUCAAUCACCAAUUAAGAAAAUGCCCCAGAGACAUACUCAUAGGCCAAUCAAUGGAGCCAAUUCCUUAAUUAGGAUUCCCUCUUCUCAGAUAUGUGUAUGGUUGUAUCGAGUUGACAAAAACUAGCAACACACUAGCCUUCUUUAACAGUCUGAAUGGUCUUAUCUUGCCUAGGAGACAACUCGUUUCCCAUGGAGAGCUGUCUUUUCUGGCACAUUUCCCAAAGCACUCCAUUAAAAGAGCUCAGUUGAGAUGGCCCAAGUUAAGGAAGUCCAAGGUACUGGGAAAUUAUUGCUGGCCCGGAGAUGGGUACAGCAGCUGGCUGCUGUACACACGAGCUUACCACAGAGCAAACCACAUUCUGAUAGGCUAGAUUCUUAGUAAGUAAUGAGAGGAAAAGAAGACAACAACAUCGUUGUAAAAGCUUUGUACUUAUCUCAAGAACUUGCAUGAGGCUAAUAUUCUGAGUACAAAGUCACUUGGAGAAGAAAGGACUGUGAAAAGGCUGGUUGUUGAGGGCUCUUGGGUCUAACAAACUAUGGCCAACACAAACUGGAACAAAAUAACUCUAUAUUACUAAAUCAAAGAUAAAACUCUGGCCAAGUGGAUGCUCACAGUCAGCUAAUGGAUGGAUCAUAGGGCUCCCAAUGGAGGAGCUAGAGAAAGUAGCCAAGGAGCUAAAGGGAUCUGCAACCCUAUAGGUGGAACAACAUUAUGAACUAACCAGUACCCCGGAGCUCUUGACUCUAGCUGCAUAUAGAUCAAAAGAUGGCCUAGUCGGCCAUCACUGGAAAGAGAGGCCCAUUGGACUUGCAAACUUUAUAUGCCCCAGUACAGGGGAACACCAGGGCCAAAAAGGGGGAGUGGGUGGGCAGGGGAGUGGGGGUGGGUGGAUAUGGGGGACUUUUGGUAUAGCAUUGGAAAUGUAAAUGAGCUAAAUACCUAAUAAAAAAUGGAAGAAAAAAAAACAAAACUCUGGCCAAUAUUAAAAUAUGUGAGGUUUCUCAUUUUUAUCCUUGUGUCCUCAAACAUGUGACUUCAAGGGUAGAAAACACAAAGUCUGGUCUCUGAGAGUUAGACAAAUCUAAACUAUGACACUUUUAAUGAGAGCAGCAGUAAUAACCAGUCACUUCCAAGCUUAGAAAGCCACAUUCUAAUCCAAUCUAGAUCAAUACUUUUCCUACUAGAUUCAGCAGGCUGUUAAUAGGGCUUAUGUAAGAGAGGGACCAUUCCGAGGGAAAGCAUGCUUGAGAAACCCCAGGUUACAAGUAUUUGUCUCAUAUUUUUCUUCACUUUAAGGCAAUCCAAAGUCUUGACUAUGUUUUUUCUUUUUCUUUUCUUUUUCUUUUCUUUUUCUUCUUUUUCUUUUUCUUUUUCUUUUCCUUUUUCUCUUCUCUUCUCUUCUCUUCUCCUUCUCCUUUCUUCUUCUCCUUUCUUCUUCUUCUUCUUCUUCUUCUUCUUCUUCUUCUUCUUCUUCUUCUUCUUCUUCUUCUUCUUCUUCUUCUUCUUCUUCUUCUUCUUCUUCCUCCCCUUCCCCUCCUCCUCCUCCUCCUCCUUCUUCUCCUUCUAUCCUAAAAAUACUUCAUUCUAAUGUGUGUGUAGUUGUGUGCACACAGAUACAGUGUCUACAGAGGCCCGGGAUGAUGGAUCUCUCUGGAACUGGAGCUACAUGUAAUCAUGGGUUACACAAAGUAGGUGCUGGAAACCGAACUCGGGUCUUCAGGAACAGCAGUGUGCACUAUUUGAGCCACUUCUCUAGCCCCAAGUACUGAGUAGAUUUUAACCUGCAAAGUUUCCAAAGCAGGAGACAAAAUAUCAAGAAUUCUCCCAAAUUUGUUUGAUCACAAAACCCCAUUUACUUCUGAUGGAUCUUAUGAUACUAGCAGUUUGGGGACUAACAUCUUAGGAAAUGCUAAACUAGAUGAGAAGAUGGAAGUUAGGACAAAGAAGGAAAGAAAUAAUAAAUGAAAACUCUGAGAUCUCUUGGAGCUGCAUGCAACUUGUGAAAUUGUUAUGUAAUAUUCAUGGUCUAAAAGGAGAGGGGCAUAUAUGACAUUCUAACAUAACUAUAAAAAUAAUAAUGUAUAGAUAGUUAGUAUGAUUAAAAUAAAAAACAAAGCUUGGUAUCAUCAUUCACAGUCUACCCUGGCUCUCUAAUCUAGUUCAACUUUGCAAAUGAAUAUAUAGUAUACUAUAUAAUAUGUUGAGAACUAAUACAAACAUUAAGAGUAUGAAUCAUCCCACCCUGGCUUGGUACUGCUAAGGGACUAAACCUACUGAUGCUCUGUGUCCCCUUCUACUCAUAAAAAAAACCUGACACCACCUGUAUGUAUUCCCUGAGGACACCUGGGAUCUUCUAGGUGCUCAGGUUACCAGUGACCAUCACAGGCACCACACCAAACACUAAUCUCUACAACAACUCUAUGAAGCUGGGACACUGUUGCCAUUGCAUAGGCUGAGUGUCCCUCCAAGCUUUAUGCUGGAAUUUAACCUGUACUCUGUUGGUCUCAAGAAAGGUGUGGCACUUGGGGAGCUGCUCUCAUGACUGAAAUGGAUGUCAUGGUGGAAGAGGCCAAAGGCAGGGGAAGAGCACACCGUGAAGCUGCACACAGGGAAACAGGUCCUCACAAGCCUGAACUGGCAUCAACAUCGGCAUCGGCAUCUUGGGUUGUGAUGUGUGAACAUCAUUUCUAGUGUUUAUAAAUUAUUCACUUAUAAAUUAAGGAAUUUUGUUAUGGGUAUAGAUAACAUGUCAGCCAGUUUUCCAUCACUGAGACAAAAACACCUGGUUAGGCCACAGACCAGCACAUUUACAGAUGACAAGCUCCUUGUGACUGAAUCAAGCUGAAACCCUGGAGUUCAUGGUAGCCACACAAAAGAAAUGUUACCAAGGAGAAACCUCAUUCCCAAAAUAUCUUUGGUAUGAGCCCAGAAUGAGCUUAAGACACCAGACAAGCUGUGAAAUCAUAGAAUUUGCUCUUAAUUAACUUAAAAGUCACCAGUUUGGAGGCCACAUGAUUGAACCACAUGAGCUCCCUGGAGAGAACGUGCCUGCUGUGGAGACGGUAGCAACCGUUGUCUGGGUUACUCUGCAUAGAUUUGAAGGCUGUUUGGACGUGAGCACUGACUCUUGCACAGAGCUGUCAGAUGGUUGAAGGAUGACUGAAGCAGGUCACAGCAUGGUGACUUUGCCUUCAUGUUUUCUGUUCCCUUUACGGCCUCAACCUUUGAGUCAGACUGUGCUCAGCUUUGAAUGAAGCCAUGUUGCCCAUUUGAAAAUCUCCGCUCAAGACUCCAACUCAGGAUUCUUUGGCUGUUUGUGCUUCUUCCAGCCCAAGCCAGUGCCUUCAGCAGCUGGAGCACACGCAGACCCCCAGUCUUCUCAGAAGGCUGACACCAAACUAAAUCCAAGGACAUAAGAUGAUAGUGUCAGGAACAAGAGACCCUCAGGAGACCCAGGGUUGGUAAGCUGCCUGACUGCCCAACUCAGGGCCACAGUGCUUGGGCACACGAAGGAAAAUAUUUUUUAGCACAGUGUCCAUGCCGGAUGGACAAUUACCGAUGUGUAACCAUGCACAGGAAAUCCAUUUUAAAGCUUGCUAGUCCCUUUUAUUACGUGAAGCAGCCUGGCCUUCUGGCAGUCCCUGCGGUAUCCCUUGGACCAGCUCAGGCUGCAGGUUCAAUAAAGGAGCUCUAUCCAUCUUUUUCUUUUUUAAAUUAUAUGUAGCCUGCUCUCAUUUCUACUAUUUCCAUGAUCUAUAGUUCAGAUUUUUGGAGUCUACCUGGAUCCCCUGUGUUGAGGGCCUGUGUUGAGGCAGGACAUCAUGGCAGGGAACACAGGGUAGAAUAUGGCAGCUGGGAAGCGCAGGGGACAACACGAAGGGACCAGGUCUCAAUAUCUUAUACAAUGCAUGCUUCCAAUGACUUCUCUAGCUUUAGAGAAGGUCUACAUCCUACAGGUUCUGCCAUCCAAUGACACACGUGCUGGAGACCAAAUCUCUAGCAUGUAGACCUCUGGGGGGUAUUUAAGUGUCAAGCCAUGACAUAUAAAGAAAUUUAAACUUAUCCUGGCCUCUGUGAUGCCCCUGCUCUCCCAGACAAUGGUUUUGAAAUCAUCUUUCUGCAUUGAAUGAAAAUCCGGCUUCUUGUAAUGAAUCUUUCCACAGCAUCAGCCAAGUGAUGAAAACCUUUGUCAGAACAACACAGGUUUGGGACCCCGGGCAGCAAUGGCUCAGUCUCAUUCCGUUUACACCAUCAGAUUAGUCACUAGACAGAACUUACCAGGAAUCUAAUUAGGGAGAAGCAAGUUUGGUCUCCAGGACAUCAAUGGAUGUGUCUUGGAGUGUGUUCAUGAUAUACUGAAGCAGCGCCAAUAAUAGAAUCCAGGGCCCUGGAGCUUCUAGAAGGCAGCCAGGAAAUUUGGUGGGAUGCUGACUGUGGUCUGCGGUCUGCACCAGUGGGUACCUGUCCAAACAGCUGCUGUUGCUGCGUAUGUAAUGAAAGCUAAUGGUGCUCACAAUCAAAUGGGCAGAAAAAUCCACAUUUCUAUAGACAUUUUUAAAAUUUUUAGAUUGUCUGUUGUUCCCUAGAAAAAUAAAUCAAUUUUUAAAAACUAGAAUACUAAUUAAGAAACGACUCCUCUCCAGAGACAGAGGGACAUGCAGCUCAGGAGGUCCACUUGAGUUCCACUGGCCUGUGUUUAGAAUUUGGUUCUAUCACUCGCCAGCUGUCACCCCUUUGUCCCAGUUUCCUCAUGUAAAAUGAAGAUAAUAUUGGCAUCCCUGUCCACAGGGUUAUCGGCGCACUCAAUGCAUUCAUAUGCACGAGCUUCUUUGGCUAGUUAAGAGAAUCUCCUUACCUGUUAAAUGCAGAUUGAAACAUUUGAAACAACGCCCCAUGCAGUCUCAGAAGUUCCCAGAAGGCAGACACAUUAAUAUAUCUCAUGUGGGGCUUAGCCUUACUAGGAUGGGAAAAUAUUGGAAAUAAAAGAUUCUACAAAAAUAAAUGAAGAGAUAAGAGAAACCUCACUCUGGCAUUUAUGGUAGCAAAGCCUAGAAGAGAGAGAGAUCAAAGUCUCCCUGCGCUACAUUGAUGGUUUUAUGCCGAAAGGAGAUGCUAGCUAAUUAGGAUGUAUUUUUUUCUGAUGUUAAUGACUUUCCACAAGAUCCUGGCAGUUUUGAACGGCAGCAGCAGCUGGUGCUUGCUAUAUACCAGAAGAAGCAAGCAGCUGCCUAAGUUCCCCAUUGUAACAGAACAGGCUAGACCUAUAGGUCCCGGGUGGGGAGGAGGUGGGAACUGGACAAAGUUAGGGAGCUGCUGCUUGCUCUCUGCUGACAGGCUAAGGGUGGGCUCAGCUCAUCAGCCUAGUCUCCAAGGCAAUUAAUAUCCAUCUGCUUAAACACCCCAGGGGACCCUUCCCAGGGGACCCUUCCCCACUCUGUCCCGUUUAACCUCCUUCCACCACCAACCCAGGGUGAAGUUAAGAAAACCAAGGGUUUCAUACAUCAAAAGUCAUGAGAGAGGCUGGGUUGACCUCCAGGUCACCGCAAGAGACAGAGAAGCAAACAGGGACUUUGAAGAACAACUGUUGCUUCAAGGAUAUUAAGUCAGAGAUGGAACAUCUGGGUUAGCUCAAGAGCCAAUAUAAGCCCCACAAAAUGAGAGAUAAAACAGUAUUUUUAAAGUGAAACCCUUAUUUCGACUCAGUGAUGACCCAAAAAGUUUAAAGCUGUCCUUUGUGCCAAGGUGAUCUCUCUGAGUUGCUUGAAACACAGAUCCGGAAGCUCGAAGGGUUUGGACUUGGGGUUUGAGCACCAAGUGCUAGCCCAGAGAUCAGUGUUACUUCUAAGUCUAAGCAACCUUGACUGAGUCACUUAGGGACAACUGUCUCAAGCUACUGGCAGGCUGGUUUCAAACACUUCCAUCACUUAGAGGUAAAGACUCAAACAGCCUUUAAGGAGACACUUGCAUUUCAGAAGGAUGUGGGCCAGAAAGGUCAGACACGCAACUGCAACUGCCCCGUGUCUCUCUGCUUCCUCUUCAUCCUGCUUUUUAGUUUAUUUUCCUGUUUUCCCUGAUCUCCCCUUUUCUUGAUGCUUAUUUCUCUCUAGUAUGAGGUCACAAAUUGAAACCGUCUAUUUAAGUUCAAGAUUGCAUUGCCCUCUUAGGCAAGCAGGUACUUUGCUGCUCCUUCCCAGAGCUUAGGUAAAAUCUUGACAACUAAAGAAGUUCAUGUAAGGAUGAAAGUGACCAGCUUACUUGGUUUUUCCAGGAUUUUCCUGGUUUCACAGAGAUAACAUUCCUGCCCCCAUGAGUUGGCAAAUGCGUUGCUCUAUCAUUGUAGUGACCCAUGUUCCUAGGAAAACAGGAUGGCAGUCUUCACUGUCAGCUUGGCUGGAUUUAGAACGAUGAAGAAGAUACACUUCUGUGUAUGUCUGUGAGGGUGUUUCCAGAGGUUGCCUCAGGAGGGAAGACCCAUUCUGAAUAUAAGAUGUAUUAAUAGUAUGCAAGAUAUCAUUCUUGCAUUUGACAAACUGUUAAAGCCAUAUAUACUGACAAAUUAAACAUACCCACUGGCCUCUUUCUCCAAAUAAAAUCUAUACAAAAUGUAUUAGAGAGUAUAAAAAUUUAUAUCUACAGUCCAAACAA
This is a long non-coding RNA of Mus musculus (house mouse), 11160 nucleotides long. RefSeq annotates it as predicted gene, 41305. NCBI's taxonomy places the organism in Eukaryota, Metazoa, Chordata, Mammalia, Rodentia, Muridae. The transcript is spliced from 3 exons. The record is from RefSeq and is a predicted model, not a curated record.